RNAcentral lists this ribosomal RNA (253 nucleotides) under uncultured bacterium. Its description in RNAcentral is "partial 16S ribosomal RNA". It matches the Rfam family "Bacterial small subunit ribosomal RNA", at positions 524 to 776 of the family's 1533-position model. The record is from RNAcentral.
UACAGAGGGGGCGAGCGUUGUUCGGAAUUACUGGGCGUAAAGGGCGCGUAGGCGGCCUUCUAAGUCGAACGUGAAAUCCCCGGGCUCAACCCGGGAACUGCGUCCGAUACUGGAAGGCUUGAAUCCGGGAGAGGGAUGCGGAAUUCCAGGUGUAGCGGUGAAAUGCGUAGAUAUCUGGAGGAACACCGGUGGCGAAGGCGGCAUCCUGGACCGGCAUUGACGCUGAGGCGCGAAAGCGUGGGGAGCAAACAGG